This 185-nucleotide ribosomal RNA is filed under the name Enterobacter hormaechei subsp. hoffmannii MRSN 11248. Its description in RNAcentral is "partial 23S ribosomal RNA". It matches the Rfam family "Bacterial large subunit ribosomal RNA", at positions 2758 to 2925 of the family's 2925-position model. Lineage: Bacteria; Pseudomonadati; Pseudomonadota; Gammaproteobacteria; Enterobacterales; Enterobacteriaceae. The record is from RNAcentral.
GAAAAGAUAAGUGCUGAAAGCAUCUAAGCACGAAACUUGCCCCGAGAUGAGUUCUCCCUGAGACUUUAAGUCUCCUGAAGGAACGUUGAAGACGACGACGUUGAUAGGUCGGGUGUGUAAGCGCAGCGAUGCGUUGAGCUAACCGAUACUAAUGAACCGUGAGGCUUAACCUUACAACGCCGAAG